This 337-nucleotide unclassified non-coding RNA is filed under the name soil metagenome. RNAcentral describes it as "partial contains 5.8S ribosomal RNA, internal transcribed spacer 2, and large subunit ribosomal RNA". The stretch from base 1 to 120 matches the Rfam family "5.8S ribosomal RNA", at positions 35 to 154 of the family's 154-position model. The record is from RNAcentral.
GAUGAAGAACGUAGCGAAAUGCGCUAAGUAGUGUGAAUUGCAGAAUUCAGUGAAUCAUCGAAUCUUUGAACGCACAUUGCGCCCCUUGGUAUUCCAUGGGGCAUGCCUGUUCGAGCGUCAUUUGUACCUUCAAGCUCUGCUUGGUGUUGGGUGUUUGUCUCGCCUCUGCGUGUAGACUCGCCUCAAAACAAUUGGCAGCCGGCGUAUUGAUUUCGGAGCGCAGUACAUCUCGCGCUUUGCACUCAUAACGACGACGUCCAAAAGUACAUUUUUACACUCUUGACCUCGGAUCAGGUAGGGAUACCCGCUGAACUUAAGCAUAUCAAUAAGCGGAGGA